This 31-nucleotide non-coding RNA is filed under the name Mus musculus (house mouse). Lineage: Eukaryota; Metazoa; Chordata; Mammalia; Rodentia; Muridae. The record is from RNAcentral.
UUCCNGCUGGAGUUGCCUUUGCUCUAAGACA